This 1487-nucleotide ribosomal RNA is filed under the name uncultured bacterium. RNAcentral's name for it is "16S ribosomal RNA". It matches the Rfam family "Bacterial small subunit ribosomal RNA". The record is from RNAcentral.
UGGCUCAGAUUGAACGCUGGCGGCAGGCCUAACACAUGCAAGUCGAACGGUAACAGGAAGCAGCUUGCUGCUUUGCUGACGAGUGGCGGACGGGUGAGUAAUGUCUGGGAAACUGCCUGAUGGAGGGGGAUAACUACUGGAAACGGUGGCUAAUACCGCAUAACGUCGCAAGACCAAAGAGGGGGACCUUCGGGCCUCUUGCCAUCAGAUGUGCCCAGAUGGGAUUAGCUUGUUGGUGAGGUAACGGCUCACCAAGGCGACGAUCCCUAGCUGGUCUGAGAGGAUGACCAGCCACACUGGAACUGAGACACGGUCCAGACUCCUACGGGAGGCAGCAGUGGGGAAUAUUGCACAAUGGGCGCAAGCCUGAUGCAGCCAUGCCGCGUGUAUGAAGAAGGCCUUCGGGUUGUAAGUACUUUCAGCGGGGAGGAAGGUGUUGCGGUUAAUAACCGCAGCAAUUGACGUUACCCGCAGAAGAAGCACCGGCUAACUCCGUGCCAGCAGCCGCGGUAAUACGGAGGGUGCAAGCGUUAAUCGGAAUUACUGGGCGUAAAGCGCACGCAGGCGGUCUGUCAAGUCGGAUGUGAAAUCCCCGGGCUCAACCUGGGAACUGCAUUCGAAACUGGCAGGCUUGAGUCUUGUAGAGGGGGGUAGAAUUCCAGGUGUAGCGGUGAAAUGCGUAGAGAUCAGGAGGAAUACCGGUGGCGAAGGCGGCCCCCUGGACAAAGACUGACGCUCAGGUGCGAAAGCGUGGGGAGCAAACAGGAUUAGAUACCCUGGUAGUCCACGCCGUAAACGAUGUCUACUUGGAGGUUGUGCCCUUGAGGCGUGGCUUCCGGAGCUAACGCGUUAAGUAGACCGCCUGGGGAGUACGGCCGCAAGGUUAAAACUCAAAUGAAUUGACGGGGGCCCGCACAAGCGGUGGAGCAUGUGGUUUAAUUCGAUGCAACGCGAAGAACCUUACCUGGUCUUGACAUCCACAGAAGAAUCCAGAGAUGGAUUUGUGCCUUCGGGAACUGUGAGACAGGUGCUGCAUGGCUGUCGUCAGCUCGUGUUGUGAAAUGUUGGGUUAAGUCCCGCAACGAGCGCAACCCUUAUCCUUUGUUGCCAGCGAUUAGGUCGGGAACUCAAAGGAGACUGCCAGUGAUAAACUGGAGGAAGGUGGGGAUGACGUCAAGUCAUCAUGGCCCUUACGACCAGGGCUACACACGUGCUACAAUGGCGCAUACAAAGAGAAGCGACCUCGCGAGAGCAAGCGGACCUCAUAAAGUGCGUCGUAGUCCGGAUUGGAGUCUGCAACUCGACUCCAUGAAGUCGGAAUCGCUAGUAAUCGUGGAUCAGAAUGCCACGGUGAAUACGUUCCCGGGCCUUGUACACACCGCCCGUCACACCAUGGGAGUGGGUUGCAAAAGAAGUAGGUAGCUUAACCUUCGGGAGGGCGCUUACCACUUUGUGAUUCAUGACUGGGGUGAAGUCGUAACAAGGUA